CCUACGGGAGGCUGCAGUGGGGAAUAUUGGACAAUGGGGGCAACCCUGAUCCAGCCAUGCCGCGUGUGUGAAGAAGGCCCUCGGGUUGUAAAGCACUUUCAGUGAGGAAGAACGCCUGGUGGUUAAUACCCAUCAGGAAAGACAUCACUCACAGAAGAAGCACCGGCUAACUCCGUGCCAGCAGCCGCGGUAAUACGGAGGGUGCGAGCGUUAAUCGGAAUUACUGGGCGUAAAGCGCGCGUAGGUGGCUUGAUAAGCCGGUUGUGAAAGUCCCGGGCUCAACCUGGGAACGGCAUCCGGAACUGUCAAGCUAGAGUGCAGGAGAGGAAGGUAGAAUUCCCGGUGUAGCGGUGAAAUGCGUAGAGAUCGGGAGGAAUACCAGUGGCGAAGGCGGCCUUCUGGACUGACACUGACACUGAGGUGCGAAAGCGUGGGUAGCAAACAGGAUUAGAUACCCCAGUAGUC
RNAcentral lists this ribosomal RNA (465 nucleotides) under Vreelandella stevensii. Its description in RNAcentral is "partial 16S ribosomal RNA". It matches the Rfam family "Bacterial small subunit ribosomal RNA", at positions 338 to 795 of the family's 1533-position model. The record is from RNAcentral. Lineage: Bacteria; Pseudomonadati; Pseudomonadota; Gammaproteobacteria; Oceanospirillales; Halomonadaceae.